UGUUACCUGAAAAGAAGUUGCCCAUGUUAUUUUCGCUUUAUAUGUGACGAAACAAACAUGGUGCACUUCUUUUUCGGUAUCA
Molecule: microRNA precursor, 82 nt
Filed under: Pongo abelii (Sumatran orangutan)
Lineage: Eukaryota; Metazoa; Chordata; Mammalia; Primates; Hominidae
Source: RNAcentral